This 403-nucleotide ribosomal RNA is filed under the name Clostridioides difficile. RNAcentral describes it as "partial 23S ribosomal RNA". It matches the Rfam family "Bacterial large subunit ribosomal RNA", at positions 1288 to 1689 of the family's 2925-position model. The record is from RNAcentral. Lineage: Bacteria; Bacillati; Bacillota; Clostridia; Peptostreptococcales; Peptostreptococcaceae.
GUGAGAAUGUUGGCAUGAGUAGCGAGAUGUGGGUGAGAAUCCCACAGGCCGUAAACCCAAGGUUUCCAGGGGAAGGUUCGUCCGCCCUGGGUUAGUCGGGACCUAAGCUGAGGCCGAAAGGCGUAGGUGAUGGACAACAGGUUGAUAUUCCUGUACUACCGAUAACCGUUUGAGAGAAGGGAUGACACAGUAGGAUAAGCUAAGCACACUGUUGGUUAUGUGUGCCCAAGCAUUGAGGCAGUCAAAGUAGGCAAAUCCGCUUUGAUAAUGCUGGGAUGUGAUGGGGAGCGAAAUUUAGUAGCGAAGUAGCUGAUUUCACACUGUCAAGAAAAGUCUCUAUCGAGGUUAAAGGUACCCGUACCGCAAACCGACACAGGUGGGUGAGGAGAGUAUCCUAAGGCCA